This is a non-coding RNA of Manis javanica (Malayan pangolin), 470 nucleotides long. The record is from RefSeq and is a predicted model, not a curated record. NCBI's taxonomy places the organism in Eukaryota, Metazoa, Chordata, Mammalia, Pholidota, Manidae.
UGUAGCGGUUCGCAGACAGGCGCUGGAAACUCGGAGAAACUGUCCCUAAAAGUGGCUUCAUCCAUCCUCACACCUGAUCUCCCAUCCCUGCCAAGGCGCCGGCGUCCCUCCUCCCCGCCCCAAUCCUGCCCAAUUAUCGGGAUGAGAGGUGUGUGAACUGCAACUCCCACAACGCACCGCGCUGAGAGCUCUGUACUCCACGAAUCAGGUGGCUCGGGUCAGGUGACUUCUGUCCCGCCCCACACAAAGUAAAGCCGGCCGAGGGAAGCGAGUCCAGUUUGAAGCGGCUCCUGCGUCUCGUGUGGUCAGUCUCGUAAGCGCAGAGGAUCUCAGUUCACAUUCCAGUCCUGUGGAAUGAGAGAGGAGCCAGUUAGGCCUGAUAUCUGCAUCUGAGAGGAAAACCAGACUGUAACCUUGGAACAAAGUGAAUCCUGAACUUGACACAGGCAGUUCUUUGAAAUCAAGGAACA